ACCACUUGUUGGAUAACUCCUUCCCCCUCCACGGAUUGGCCAGAGCAGCUAAAGGACGAAGAAGCUAUUUUUGGAGGUACUAACAUUCAUGAUGCAGUAAUAAUAAUUCUCAUUAUUCCUAGUGAGGCAACUUAAAGUACCAUAACCACUACACAGUGCUAGGAGCCUACGAAUCUCAGUACUGGAAGGGCACACAAGGACAACUGUCCG
Molecule: non-coding RNA, 210 nt
Organism: Pelobates cultripes (western spadefoot toad)
Lineage: Eukaryota; Metazoa; Chordata; Amphibia; Anura; Pelobatidae
Source: the annotation of a GenBank genome assembly